UGGGGAAUAUUGCACAAUGGGCGAAAGCCUGAUGCAGCAACGCCGCGUGAGUGAUGAAGGCCUUCGGGUUGUAAAGCUCUGUCUUUUGGGACGAUAAUGACGGUACCAAAGGAGGAAGCCACGGCUAACUACGUGCCAGCAGCCGCGGUAAUACGUAGGUGGCAAGCGUUGUCCGGAUUUACUGGGCGUAAAGGAUGCGUAGGCGGAUUUUUAAGUGAGAUGUGAAAUACCCGGGCUUAACUUGGGUGCUGCAUUUCAAACUGGGAAUCUAGAGUGCGGGAGAGGAGAAUGGAAUUCCUAGUGUAGCGGUGAAAUGCGUAGAGAUUAGGAAGAACACCAGUGGCGAAGGCGAUUCUCUGGACCGUAACUGACGCUGAGGCACGAAAGCGUGGGUAGCAAACAGGAUUAGAUACCCUGGUAGUCCACGCCGUAAACGAUGAGUACUAGGUGUAGGAGGUAUCGACCCCUUCUGUGCCGCAGUUAACACAAUAAGUACUCCGCCUGGGAAGUACGAUCGCAAGAUUAAAACUCAAAUGAAUUGAC
Molecule: ribosomal RNA, 543 nt
Filed under: uncultured bacterium
Lineage: Bacteria
Description: partial 16S ribosomal RNA
Rfam family: Bacterial small subunit ribosomal RNA
Source: RNAcentral